AGAGUUUUACUGAUUGUCUUGCAUGGAUACAUUUGAGCCUGCAUGUUGCGAUCUGUAUCCAAUGAUUGUAACUUCUGUAUUGUAUCCUUCAAUGAGAAAGGACAGCUCUGGUGUGAGGAGUCCCUCUCCCUUCUCCUAAACUCUUCUACAAAACAGGGGUUUCCAACUUCCGGGAUAAGGACCUGUACCAACUCAUGGCCUGUUAGGAAAUGGGCCACACAGCAGAAGCUCUCCAGGAACACAUCUUUGAAGACAAAAUGCCUCCAAGAUCCCCAGUACUGUAGCUCUUCUCCUGAAGCAACUAUUUCCAGCCUUGAAAGUUAUCAGCUCAGGAGAGGAAGCACUGCAAGCAGCUCCUGGGCCCUGGGGUAUGGUUGCAGAUUCAUCACCUAGCUACUUGUUUGUGGUGUUAUCAUCUUUUUUUCCCUGACAUAUUUUGGAACUUGACUACAUCUGAUAUAUUUCUCAACAUUUCUCCAGUACCAUUCACUCCAACUCCAGAGGACACCAUGGAACACCAUUUCCUCGGCUGGAAGUGGGACCAUCUCCGGCGACCUCUGCUUCUCCUCUCCUUUUCUACUUUACAGGAGCACUUACAGAAACACUUGAAAAAGUUCCCCACUCAUAGGAGACCUGUCAGUUAGCAAAUUGUACCCUGAAGUUUUGGUCUAGGAUAUCAAAGCAUAACUUAUUUUGGGGCUGCUUUACCAGAUUGUGACAUAAUAAACUUUACUUACUUCAAACAUUUUAUUUGUGAUGAGAUCACGAUCACGGAGGCCCUCGAGGAAUGGAAAUGUCUUUUUUAUUGCAUUUGAAAUCUCCACCUUAUUUCUUUUGAAGUGCUUGAAUACAAUGUCAUAGAGCAGCCUGUCAUCUACACCCUGGUCUUCCGUGAACAUCCUAGGGAAAAAGGACACCAUGUGAAAAUGGUCAUCAAGAUUCUGAGAUGUUUGUGGAGGCUGUAAGAGUUUACAUAUAAAGGACAAGCUACAAAGAAUGAACAUAUAUAAAUUAGGUGGUCCUCAGUAGAGGCCAGAAUAAAUGCAAUUGAAGCAACAAAAAAGAUGUAAUAGAAGAAAUGGAGGUUGUGAAAAACUAAUAUAGAGGACUGAAAAAGUUCUGUCUAAACUGAACAAAGCCAUUGUAAAGAUACCUUCACCUAACCAUAUAUGGAAUAUUUUUUGAAAUAAAAAUUAAAUUCCUACAGAAUCUAGGUGGAAUAAACAGGUCAUCCACAGAGAAAUGAAAAACAAUGGAAUAAAAAUAAAAUCUAACCUUGAAUAUGCAUCUUAAUCAACUGAGAGAAAACAAAUCUGAGAAAGAUGAAAAUAACAUGUCCUUCUCUAAUCUGUAGCUGUUAAGAAAGAAAUAUAAUCCUACAUCAUUAAUUCACAAAUAAUACAAUGCAGUUUAAUAAUAAUAAUGAGACCACAUUAUUGAGAAUUUCAUGAGAAUAUGAAUGAUAUCUCCUAGAAUGCCUGAUUCUACUUUGUAUUAAUAUCAAUCUCUCUGUAUUAUUGCUAUAUAUGGUGAAUCAUUUUAGGCAUCUGAAUUUCAGAAAUUGUUGCCGUUUCCUAUGAAAGUAAUUUUAAAGUUGAAUCUCUAAUUCUGGUUCUUAGUUGAUUACUUUAUUGCUCUGAUAAUGUUUUAGUCAACAUCUCAGUAUUUCUUAAUAUUAUGAAAAUUUAUGAGCCCUUCCUUCCCAACUAGAAGAGAAUUAUUGGCACUGUCCAGUAUCUAACAUGAGGCAGGAAACAAUAAUGUUACAUUAUUGUUUUGAAUUUCUGUAAAAAAAGUUUCUGGUUAAAGAUCACUAAAAUGAUAACAAAGGAAUUAGAUUCACAAUGACAAAGAGAAUGGCAGAGGACAAUGAGCAGAUAAGAGAUUUCAAGUAAAAUCUUGAAGGUGAAAAGUGGUCAGAAAAGUGCUAGUUGCAAUAGCAGAUAGGGGAUGGAUGCUUUCAGAGGUUAGGAAUCAUGGUGCCCUACAGAAUUUGUAAGAAACAAUGGAGAUUUGAAGGGAGACACAGAGCCAAAAACUGAUGUGUUAUUUGAGAAAUGAACAGAACAGUGUGUGCCCUGCCCGUCAACCCACAUCCUGACCAUAUGCAACCAGGCAGUCUCUCAGGGCAACCACUGCUGUCAUUUUUUCCAUCGUAUCUUAAUACUGCCCGCUACUGGAUUUUGUAUAAAUGGGAUAAAAGGUAUAUAUGCUUUUGUGUCUGCCUUCUUUUGCUUAUCAUUCAUGUUGAUGUGUUGAACAGUAGUUUGUUCAUUUUUGUUGUUGAGUGGCAUUCCAUUGUGUGAAUAUACCACAAUCUGCUUAUUCAGUUUUCUGUUCAUGGUCAUUGGAGUUGAUUCCACUUUGAGACUAGUAUAAAUAAAAUUGCUGCUCUUGUACAA
This is a long non-coding RNA of Homo sapiens (human), 2402 nucleotides long. RefSeq lists it as uncharacterized. The transcript is spliced from 4 exons. NCBI's taxonomy places the organism in Eukaryota, Metazoa, Chordata, Mammalia, Primates, Hominidae. The record is from RefSeq and is a predicted model, not a curated record.